This is a long non-coding RNA of Acinonyx jubatus (cheetah), 2804 nucleotides long. RefSeq lists it as uncharacterized. NCBI's taxonomy places the organism in Eukaryota, Metazoa, Chordata, Mammalia, Carnivora, Felidae. The record is from RefSeq and is a predicted model, not a curated record. The transcript has 2 exons.
GGGGCUGAGAGAGAGCAGAGAGAAUGGGGAGCGAGUGCUGUGACUUCCGCGUCCCUCGGUGCCCUCAGAGAGUGGUCUCGGGGCUCCGUCCAGAGUAAAUAACGCUCCCUGAGCUGGUGGGCAGGUGGGAGGUGGGGGGUUCCACCAUUUGGUAACGGAACUGCCCUUGAUAAUCCCAAGAGAAGAUGGUGCGUGUGAGCUGAGAAACGGCCAGAGUCCCCAAAUCCUUGCUCUGCCCUGGGAGCGGAUGUUCCCGCGGUCUGGGAAAUCUGAUGGGCUUUGUACACAGUCACCACGAGGAGAGGACAGAACGUGAGUGUCCCAGGCGGGGAUCCCGUGGCGUCAGAUCCGCACACCUCACUGGCAGCUCGUCCCCCCACCAGGCUGGGCUGACCCAGGGCCCGAGUGGGGGGCCGUGCUGCUGUGCCUUGGGCUGCUGUGGGUGUGCUCCUGCCCCAGGGAGAGCCCAGGCUCUGUGCCCAGGAAGGACGGGCCCGGGGCAAGAUGAGCGGGGCCCCGGCAUCGCGGCCGGCCCCCACGCCCGCCUUCCACACUCAGACACACUCGGCCCCGGGUCACGGCCUCGGACGCCUCCGCAGCUGUACAAUCUUCUCAUCUCCAGGCUACUUGGUGGCAGUGCUGACCCUGACCACGAGCAGUUCUGGGGUCUCAGCCUGUCCGAACGAGAGCACGAAGCAGUUCCCAGCCGGGCUUUGAAGCUGCCCCCAGCUGCCCGAGCCGCCUCGUGAAGUCCUGACCCUGGAGCGCGCACGCAGACCGAUGAGUUCCGCUCCAUUCAGCACGGAAGGCAGCUCUCUCGGGGUGACCCCUUCCGAGUCCAUUCCUGCACGGCGCCUCGGCAGAGGGUUUCCAAGGGCAGGAAGUCGGGUGCCCCCGGGCAAGGGCAGAGGGGCUGAUCGUGCUCGGGGAGGACCAGGGGGCGGGAGGGAGGGCCGCGGUCCUCACGCUAACUGGACUUCAUCGGUGUCCCAAUCGGGGGUCGAGGGCCCGUCCCCUCCUCAUGCCCCCCCUUGCACAGGACUUGGCAGGGUCUGAAUUCAGCUGCUGACGCAAUCCGCAGCCCACGCUGUCGCACGGGGGUCCGGUUUUCCUGCACCUCCACCCAGACGCUUCAAGAAUGAACAUGAGGCGAAGGCCCUCACGGAACCAGAGCUCCGAAGUUCGACGUCCCCUUUCUGAAAGUUGCAGCCAGACGGCCGCCGGUCCCACAUUUCCUGUCAAGCUGGGUUCCUGAAACCUAGCUUCCAACGGGUGCUGUGUCCCAACGAGCCAGCAGAGUCAUCCGAGGGACUGCGUCACUCGGUGCCGAGACACCGGUGCCCCGUCUUCUACUGACGAGGUGGCCCCACCUGUCUUCUGGGCAAGCACACGCACACACGCGGAGACCCUGGGAAACCGAUUCCAGAGGACUCACCUCCCAAGGGGCUGGAGGAAGAAAAACAGCUGGAAAUGCUGUGCCUUCGGGUGUUGGCCCAGAAAGCGGUAAGGGAGCGCGCUCCCCGGCGGGGCCGGGGGCGGAUGGGUGUUUGCUCUCCACCUCAACCUGGAGCAUUUUUAAGUACGGUUCUGUGGACAUUAACUCACGUGGAGACCCGCGUAGCCAAGUUCAGGACGUAGAGCAGCUCUAUCCCCUGAAACUCCCCACAAAACCUCCCUCCUGCUGGGUCCCCGACCCCUGCAACCACUCACCCCUCCUCCACACCAGGAGCUUUGCCUUUUCUAGAACGUCACGGAAACGGAACCACACGGCACGGCGCCCGUGAGCCUGGCUGCCGUUGCCACCCACAGAGCUGUCCACUUGGUCCACACCUGACUCCGUUCGUCGUGUCAGUCCAUCGCACGGGCGGCCCUGGGUCUGCUCGAGCCGCUCGAGGUGAAGGCCUGUGGGGCGUGUCUGGUUCUUAGCAAUUACGGCUGAGCUGUCAUGCCCAUCCGCAGACGUGUGACUGCGUUCUCUUCUCUUUUACGUGCAGACCUGGGAGAGGUCACCGGGUCGUACGUAAGGCCAAGGGUAUAUUCCGAUCUGUGAGAAAUCGCCCAGCUGUUCCCCGGAGCAGCUGUGGACCAGGGUCCUGCUCUCGGCCAUCCUCUCCGCCACUCGGCAUCCCGUGCUGCGGACGGUAUGAGUUGCUGUCACCUCAGGGCCGGCAACCCUCACCUUCGCUCCCAUGGCCCUUUGCCGCCCGGGUGUCCUCUUUGAGGAAGCGUCUGUUCCAGCGUUUUGCUCAUUUUUAUUGGGCCAUUCACUUUGUUACUGUUGAGGCUUGGAGUGUUCCAUGUGUUUUGGGGUUUUUUUGGGGGGGGGAUUAUGAAAUCUGCAAACACUUAUUCCAGAGUGCAGCUUUAUUUUAAAGAAUUCUCGGGGCGCCUGGGUGGCGCAGUCGGUUGGGCGUCCGACUUCAGCUCAGGUCACGAUCUCACGGUCUGUGAGUUCAAGCCCCGCGUCGGGCUCUGGGCUGAAGGCUCAGAGCCUGGAGCCUGCUUCCGAUUCUGUGUCUCCUCUCUCUGCCCCUCCCCCCUUCAUGCUCUGUCUCUCUCUGUCUCAAAAAUAAAUAAACGUUAAAAAAAAAAAAUUAAAAAAAAAAAAAAGAAUUCUCUUGAGGGGCGCCUGGGUGGCUCAGUCGGUUGAGCCUCUGACUUCGGCUCAGGUCAUGCUCUCACGGUCCGUGAGUUGGAGCCCCGCGUCGGGCUCUGUGCCGACACCUCGGAACCUGGAGCCCGUUUUGGAUUCUGUGUCUCCCUCUCUCUCUGACCCUAACCCACUCGCAUUCUGUCUCUGUCUC